UUAAACUUCAGAGCCACUUGGACUGGGUUUAUAGCACAAAGCUGUCCUGUGAUCAGAGGUCAGAAGAGGGCUUCGGAUCCACUGGCGCUGAACUGAUACAUGCUUCUGAGCCUUGAUAUGGGCGCUGGGAACUGAACCUGGGUCCUCUACAAGAACAAGUGAGCUUAACUGCCAAGCCAACUCUCCAGCACACAAAACUAGUUCCCUUAACCUUUGUGUUUAUUUGUACAUGACCAUCAUAUACGUCCAGACCAGUAAAAAACUACAAUCUAUUUUAUUAAAAACAAAACUAACUUGUAAGAAACUCAACUGUACACACCCAUGUGCUCAGUGUGCACACACAUGUGCACACAUUACUCUCCUGGUGGGUUAAUGCUUUGUCAUUUGGUAUCUAACUUAAUAAACACGUUCUUCUUUGCUGCACUUU
RNAcentral lists this long non-coding RNA (427 nucleotides) under Mus musculus (house mouse). Its description in RNAcentral is "predicted gene, 16759". Lineage: Eukaryota; Metazoa; Chordata; Mammalia; Rodentia; Muridae. The record is from RNAcentral.